AGAGUUUGAUCCUGGCUCAGAACGAACGCUGGCGGCGUGCCUAACACAUGCAAGUCGAACGGGAUGAGGGGGCUUGCUCCUUCAUUUAGUGGCGCACGGGUGAGUAACGCGUAGAUAAUCUGCCUGGUAGUGGGGGACAACGUUUCGAAAGGAACGCUAAUACCGCAUACGUCCUACGGGAGAAAGCAGGGGACCUUCGGGCCUUGCGCUAUCAGAUGAGCCUAGGUCGGAUUAGCUAGUUGGUGAGGUAAUGGCUCACCAAGGCGACGAUCCGUAACUGGUCUGAGAGGAUGAUCAGUCACACUGGAACUGAGACACGGUCCAGACUCCUACGGGAGGCAGCAGUGGGGAAUAUUGGACAAUGGGCGAAAGCCUGAUCCAGCCAUGCCGCGUGUGUGAAGAAGGUCUUCGGAUUGUAAAGCACUUUAAGUUGGGAGGAAGGGUAGUAACUUAAUACGUUGCUACUUUGACGUUACCGACAGAAUAAGCACCGGCUAACUUCGUGCCAGCAGCCGCGGUAAUACGAAGGGUGCAAGCGUUAAUCGGAAUUACUGGGCGUAAAGCGCGCGUAGGUGGUUCAGUAAGUUGGAAGUGAAAUCCCCGGGCUCAACCUGGGAACUGCUUUCAAAACUGCUGAGCUAGAGUACGGUAGAGGGUGGUGGAAUUUCCUGUGUAGCGGUGAAAUGCGUAGAUAUAGGAAGGAACACCAGUGGCGAAGGCGACCACCUGGACUGAUACUGACACUGAGGUGCGAAAGCGUGGGGAGCAAACAGAAUUAGAUACCCUGGUAGUCC
RNAcentral lists this ribosomal RNA (794 nucleotides) under uncultured bacterium. RNAcentral's name for it is "bacterial SSU rRNA". It matches the Rfam family "Bacterial small subunit ribosomal RNA", at positions 8 to 796 of the family's 1533-position model. The record is from RNAcentral.